AUACGGAGGAUCCGAGCGUUAUCUGGAUUUAUUGGGUUUAAAGGGUGCGCAGGCGGGAGAUUAAGUCGGCGGUGAAAUUUUGCAGCUCAACUGUAAAAGUGCCUUCGAAACUGGUUUCCUUGAGUGUAGAUGAAGUAGGCGGAAUUUGUGGUGUAGCGGUGAAAUGCAUAGAUAUCACGAGGAACUCCGAUUGCGCAGGCAGCUUACUAAACUACUACUGACGCUCAGGCACGAAGGCGUGGGGAUCAAACAGGAUUAGAUACCCUGGUAGUCCACGCAGUAAACGAUGAUUACUAGCUGUUUGCGAUACAAUGUAAGCGGCUGAGCGAAAGCGUUAAGUAAUCCACCUGGGGAGUACGUUCGCAAGAAUGAAACUCAAAGGAAUUGACGGGU
This 393-nucleotide ribosomal RNA is filed under the name uncultured bacterium. Its description in RNAcentral is "partial 16S ribosomal RNA". It matches the Rfam family "Bacterial small subunit ribosomal RNA", at positions 523 to 918 of the family's 1533-position model. The record is from RNAcentral.